UAAAGUAAGUUGUUUAUUGUGAAAUAUCGAUGGAAGUGGAGUCAAUAAUUCAAACAAGACCUGGUAUGAUUGUGCAAGGACAAACAAUGCAAUUGCAAGUGAAGGCAUCCACCAGCCCUGUUGCAUAUGAGAAACUUAAGAAUAUUCUUCUCAAAGAUCGUCCAAACCAGUUAUGAAAAAAAGAAGACGCGAGAGAAUAAAUAACAGUUUGAACGAACUGAAAAAUUUGCUUUAAGAAUCAAGGAAAAGAGAUACGGCUUGCUGCUCAAAGUUAGAAAAAGCUGACAUACUAGAAAUGACCGUGCAGUAUUUAAAAUCCAUCCGAAUGCAACAAGUAAAAGCAAUCAACCAUAACAGAUCCUGUUGCUUUGGCUCAUUACAGAGCAGGUUUCAAUCACAGCGCUAUGGAAAUCAACAAAUAUCUUAUGGAUACACCUGAUUUACAACUUAAAGUCCGUAAUAGACUUCUUACACAUCUCUCAAACACUUGUCAUGCUGUAUUCAGUAACCAUCAAACCAUUCAACACACAAAACAAUACAAUCUACCAAUGUACCAAUUGCCUGCAACAGUUAUCACUAAUGAACCUUCGUCUUCAAAAGAAAUAUUUUUCAAUUCAUCAACAUCAAUGUUCGUUUGAUUUUGCUCGUUAAGGAAAAUUCGUGUUUCAGAGUGGAUACAAUUUUUGAAUUCUUCCAUUAAAAUUAACUGCGUUCUCAUCAA
Molecule: long non-coding RNA, 721 nt
Organism: Xenia sp. Carnegie-2017
Lineage: Eukaryota; Metazoa; Cnidaria; Anthozoa; Malacalcyonacea; Xeniidae
Exons: 4
Source: RefSeq, a predicted model, not a curated record